This is a long non-coding RNA of Vespula vulgaris, 329 nucleotides long. RefSeq lists it as uncharacterized. The record is from RefSeq and is a predicted model, not a curated record. The transcript has 3 exons. Lineage: Eukaryota; Metazoa; Arthropoda; Insecta; Hymenoptera; Vespidae.
CUCGGAGGAGAUAUAAGGCGGCCGUCUUUGACAGUAGGUCCAGUCAUGCCACGAAUUUUUACCAUACACAUAUGAAUCCGCGUGAAUGAAACGGGGUGGUGGGGAUGGUCUGCCACUCGGAGGAGAUAUAAGGCGGCCGUCUUUGACAGUAGGUCCAGUCAUGCCACGAAUUUUUACCAUACACAUAUGAAUCCGCGUGAAUGAAACGGGGUGGUGGGGAUGGUCUGCCACUCGGAGGAGAUAUAAGGCGGCCGUCUUUGACAGUAGGUCCAGUCAUGCCACGAAUUUUUACCAUACACAUAUGAAUCCGCGUGGUACGCACGCUCCGC